UACGGGGGGGGCAAGCGUUGUUCGGAAUUACUGGGCGUAAAGGGCUCGUAGGUGGCCAACUAAGUCAGACGUGAAAUCCCUCGGCUUAACCGGGGAACUGCGUCUGAUACUGGAUGGCUUGAGUUCGGGAGAGGGAUGCGGAAUUCAAGGUGUAGCGGUGAAAUGCGUAGAUAUCUGGAGGAACACCGGUGGCGAAGGCGGCAUCCUGGACCGACACUGACGCUGAGGAGCGAAAGCCAGGGGAGCAAACGGG
This 253-nucleotide ribosomal RNA is filed under the name uncultured bacterium. Its description in RNAcentral is "partial 16S ribosomal RNA". It matches the Rfam family "Bacterial small subunit ribosomal RNA", at positions 524 to 776 of the family's 1533-position model. The record is from RNAcentral.